This is a long non-coding RNA of Selaginella moellendorffii, 237 nucleotides long. RefSeq lists it as uncharacterized. NCBI's taxonomy places the organism in Eukaryota, Viridiplantae, Streptophyta, Lycopodiopsida, Selaginellales, Selaginellaceae. The transcript is spliced from 2 exons. The record is from RefSeq and is a predicted model, not a curated record.
AAAACAAAGGAACGCCGUGUUAUGUGCAAGCCAACAAGCAGAUGGAAGCAAGCGGAGCUUUCAGCAGCAGCGCAAAAAACGCAUUCGAGGAGGAGGCGAAUGCAACAACAACAAAGUGAUUUAAAAGAGCAAACCAGUCUGUUCCAAGGUGGUCUGGAGUUCGAAUCCUGUGUGAGUCCGCUCUGGCCUCCCCAAAAAAGAUUUUCCCUCCUGGAGGAGGAAUAGUUACUUAUUCCC